ACUCGAUGGACGUGAGUUUGAGUGAACUCUGGGAGUUGGUGAUGGACAGGGAGGCCUGGCGUGCUGCGAUUCAUGGUGUCGCAAAGAGUCAGACAUGACUGAGCGACUGAACUGAACUGAUCUCAUAUUUUAUUGGUAAUUCUGGUGAGAAGAGGCUAGGAAGCACAUAAGAAGGGGGAUUGAAGUGAUCAGUGCUCUUCGUUUAAUGGUAUGAAAACCCUAGUCACGUGCUCUCAGGAUAUUUCUUGGUUAUUUUAAUGUUUAACGAUAAAAUAUGUGGCAUAGAAAGAGUAAGAAACAAAACUUUGCUGUGACACUGGGGGCUUCUGCCUUGUGGUAAUAGUUAGGAAGAUGGCCUUACCUUGAGAGCAGUUAUCUUGCAGAUAAAUAGCUGAAACUUCUUUCAGAAAUGUCUAACUUUUGUUCUUGGGUUCAUGGGAAUUUGAGAGAUACAGGCUUUUAAUUGUUCACAGCUGGUGCAUGAAUAUAGUGGUAAUAAUAAUUAGGAACAAUACGGUUCACCUCUCAAGUUGUUAGUUUUAAUCCACUAAAGUUUUUUGAUCUGAAGUCUGGCAGCGUUUUCCAGUGGGAACGUUUGGAGGGGUUCCAUCCUAGUUUUCAGUCAGGAAGUAUGCGUGUCUGCCUUGUCUCGCUAAUUUGUUACAAUGAUUUCCAUGGUUUGAUUUUCAUGUCUUCCACCUAAAAGCACACACGCAAAACCAGCCUGCACUCCAGACAUCCUUACUACUUGAGCAGGUGCAGCAGGCACCAUGAGCCUGGAUCAAGCAUAUCUGGGGAGUUUCGGCCUCGGGUGUGGCCCCCCAUGGCCACUUGAUGGAGAUGGGAGCCUUGUUAGGAGAGGAAAAAGUGAGUUUGAAUUACAUGCUUGUGAAUGGAGGCCAAACGUCAGUGUGGUUGACACUUAUUACUUCCUUGGGAUGAAAAGAAUGCUUCCAAUUCCCUAGAUAGUAGAAGUAAUCAUAAAGCUGAUUUUAUAAGUUAUUUAUUCCUCCCACCUUGCUUUUUGUCAAGUUUUCAAAUUCCAGAGUAUUAAGACAAGUUUCUGGAGGCAUUCACUCUCCAUGACUCCAUCUUAGGGAAAUUUUUCUAAGUGAUAAAUAUUUAUAAGCGAGUAAGUAUGGAUUUCCCUGGCUGUCCAGUGGUCAAGUCUGCAUUUCCACUACAGAGAAUGUGGGUUCAAUCCCUGGUCAGGGAACUAAGAUCCCACAUGCUGCAUGGCACAGCUAAAAAAAGAGGGGGGUAAGAGAAAGAGAAUAAGUAUUAAAAACACAUGUAUUCUUGAACAGUGAUUUCAAUGAAAGCAGUAUUCUGAGAAAUUUUAAAGCAACAACAAAAGAGUUUUCGUAUGAGAAUGUGUAAUUAUAUCAGAUUGUUAAAAGAUACCUCUUUCACCUUGGAUACCUUGGGGUGAAGAAAAUCUUAAAUUGACAUUGCAUAUGUGAAAGAAAUGUAAAUCCUAAUUUUGGUUAUUUUUAGAAGUUAGUAGUAGAACAUUAAUUACAUGAACAAAUUUAUAGCUUCUCAUAAUUCACGCUGACCCCUGGUUUGGCUGAGGCAGCCCACUCUUGUGUUCUGGAACUAAGUGAUUUCUCCUAGCACAUCCUCUUUGCUUUUCCCACAAGACUUCCUGGAAUAAGACGGCGUUUGCCAGGUAGAGUUGAUACAAGAAUCCUGCCAAGAUAACUUUGUGAUGACAACCUUUUUUGCUUUUAAAAGUACACAUUGUAAGAAAGCUCCCUUGAAUCUACAAAUAAAACCCAUUUUAUGAAGCUAGGUUGUUAUUCACAUUGUACUUCCAGGAAGGCAAAUUGGAAUUAGUUUUCAUUUCAGAGGGCCGUGAAAGUGAAGUGGAACAAGUCAGAGAGCCGUGGGAGAGGUUGUGACCUUGUGGAAAUACCAGGUCAGUAUUGGGAAUUAGUGUGAGAUCCCCAAAUGCAGCAAUUUCUAAGUGGGUGAUUUUUGUCAUUUUAUUCACUUUUGCUAGCUCAUGAAAAAUUGUCAGAGUGAACAGAGGGACAGCAUUAAUCUCCUGAAUAAGGAGCCUUUACAUCCCUACCCCUCGAAGACUCUUUUUUUUCAUCACAACCUAUUUGUAGGUGAUCAGCGUGCGGACACUGCAUGUGCUUAUGUCUUCUAAGUAUUUGCUUCUGGAGAGCCAGCUUGAAAAAGCAAAACAGAAAAAUCCAUUGGCAUUUUGAGAGUUGAAUCCACAGAAGAUGUUGUUUGCAAUGUGCUAAAAACAUAAGGUUCAAACAGCCGGAACAGGCCUGGUGCCAGGCAGUUUUACUGGGAGAGAAAGAGGAGGUCUGAAGCAGUCCUUUUAGGAUUAUCUCCAACUCAGCAGCUGCUGUCUGAGUUUGAUUAUGCACAUCCUGCUCUGGGAGACCUGCCUUAACCCUCCGGCCCCUGGGGAAUCUCAGGCCUCUCUUUAAACAAAAGGCUCUUCCCCUGGACACCCAAGGGCAAAAGCCAAAACAAUAUGGAGGUUAAAAGAACGUGGAGCUUUUGAAGACUGGAUUUGAGAGAACAGUCUAGGAAGGAAACUUGAGUGCAGAAGUUUGGAGCUUGUAAGUGCCUUUUAAGACCCUCUCAUUUUACAGAUGAAGGAGCAGAGGCUUGGGGAAGUUAAGUGACUUAACCAGAAAGAACUAGUCAGAACUGAAAUCCAGGUCUCCUCGCCGCCCUCCUACCCCCCAACCCUCACCACCGCACCCCCCAGCCCCGCUUUGUAUAGGAUCACAUGCUUUAAAGAUGGGGUUCUCACUCCCAUAUAAAUAACGCAUUGUAUAUUUUUGAAAAUUGAGCCGAAAGAGAAGAAACAUUGAAAGAGCAUUUGGAGUUAGGAGCUGACCAGGCAUAUUCAGAUUUUUUUUUCAAGCAGUGGAGUUUCCUCAGUGUGUAAAUAAGUGGACCAGUAAAUAGAUUAUUCCAGUAAAUUCUGCGUAAGAUUUUUAAAGGUCAGUUCAGUUCAGUUCAGUUGCUCAGUUGUGUCCAACUCCUUGCAACCCCGUGAACUGCAGCAUGCCAGGCCUCCCUGUCCAUCACUAGCUCCCGGAGUUUACUCAAACUCAUGUCCACUGAGUCGGUGAUGCCAUCCAACCAUCUCAUCCUCUGUCAUCCCCUUCUCCUCCUGCCUUCAAUCUUUCCCAUCAUCAAGGUCUUUUCAAAUGAAUCGGUUUUUAAAGGUAGAACCAGGCAUAUUGGAGAGGUGUUGGGAGGGAAAAAUUGAAUCUAGAAAGAUGGUUCUGAAAACUAGGAAGGAUGUUUGUGUAAGGAACUCUUUUAUUCAAUGAUUGUGGUAUCUGGAGCCGGGCUACAGCCUCUGAGGAUUUAUGACCUCCAGUCUGGAGAAGGUAGGUGGGCUUCCACUAUCUGAGUUGAGGAAUGCAUGUGGGAUCCUUGAGCCUAAGGCUGACCAGGUAACAAAAGACUUUGUCAGAGAAGAUAGCUGCCUAGAGUUCUUGGAGAGGAACGAGUGGUUGGUUGUUUUACAUUUGUGUUGGGAAGUGAGAAUUUUCCCUGCUCUGUGGUUGAAAUAAGAUGAAGUUUUCUUCCUUUUGAAGUUUGGGAAGAUAAUUUCUUACAGAAAAUAAUACUGAAAUCCAGGGAUAUUACUAAAAUGUGGAUCCUUUCUCUUCUUGCCCGGUUAAAGGACUGAGCUGGUAGAGUUUUGUUUGGUAUAACGGCACCGGGUAGCAUUGUUGACCUAAAAGGGUUUUGAUUAAACGAGAGAGAAAAAUCAGAACGAUCUUAUUCACUAACAUGCCAAGCGGAUUUGCAGCCUAUUUUUAUACUUUUUAAUAGUGGAAUUUUUAUUCUCCUUUUAAGGUUAUAUUGAAUCUGAGCUGAGUAUCCUUUUCUACACCCCACCAUCCUUUCUGUGAAACCUAAGAGAAAAAGACUUAUAUUUAGGAUACCCUGAGAUACCCUGGGAUGUGUUUCUUUGCACUUAAUUAUCUUUCUAGGAUUUUGGUGACAUCUGUAGCUGAAAAGAAAAGGAGCGAUGGGUGAUCUGGAGCAUAUCUCAAAUGGGCGAAUGUGAGAGUCUUCUUUUAGAGCUAUGCCUUAGGAAUGCCUUUUAUUUAGUGGCCUAAUUAGGACAGGCCUGUGUCGGUUUAUUGAUUGACAAGCUUUUGAAGUACCUGUUGCCUGCAAGUGUGAAUUUUUAAAGCAGUUACCUGAUUUUUUUUCUCCCCCUCUGACUUGGAGAAAAGUUAGGGCACAAGAAGACGCUAUAUAUUAUUUUCCUUGUUCUUCACCAAAGACAGAGUUUUGGGUUCUUUGGAAAAAGAAGUUUAUCCGAAGGUCAGGAGCCCUUUCCUCCUUUGUUUCCCUUAAUUGAUAGCAGAGGCUCUUUGUCCCAUUGGGAUACAUUGUCUUAAUGCUAGUCUUACGCUGUAAUGAUAUCAAAGGAGGCAACUCAAGUGAUUUUCUCUGUAGGCAAUUAUUCAGUUUAUGAUAUAUUAUAAAACUUUUUGAAGAGCUAUUUAUACUCAUAAGAGAGGGGAAGUAGCUUAAGGAUCUAUGAUCUUUAUUUGAGAUAGUUACUAAUCUAUCUAAUUGGAUCUUUAGAGCAAAAUGGGCAGUUUGUGGAUGUGUAGUGUAAGAUGAUGGCAGCCCGCGCCAGUGUUCUUGCCUGGAGAAUCCCAGGGACGGGGGAGCCUGGUGGGCUGCCGUCUAUGGGGUCGCACAGAGUCGAACACGACUGACGUGACUCAGCAGCGGUGUAAGAUGAAUUCUGUGGAAGUACCACCUCGGAACUGUCAGCUUGCCCAGAAGUGACAUUCCUCAGCUGGGAACUUUCUCUGGGUUGUUGUUAUUCAGUCGCUAAGUCGUGUCCUAUGAUUUGUGACCCCACGCCAGCCUUCCUUGACCUUUACUAUCCCCCAGAGUUUGCUCAAACCCGAGUCCAUUGAGUUUGUGAUGCCAUCCAACCAUCUCAUCCUCUGUCACCCUCUUCGCCUCCUUUCUCUGGGAAGGGUGUAUUUAUAUAUAUAUAUAUGUCUAUUUCUGGAUUAGUUUCACACAAGUGAAGUGUCUUUCCCACCUGCUGCUCUUUGCCUGGGGUUGGAAUUUUUCCCUUUUAGUGCUUGUCACUUGGCCUUUGAAUGGAAAUGUGUCCUUCCUUUCAGAAUCAGAAGAUUGUGUAAUUCAUCAGGAGAAAUUUCUCCGAAGACUUAUUAAUUCAGUUCCUCCAUGGCAAACUCCCCACACUACAAUGAUAAACCUCUGAAUUUGAAAUCCCUUAAAAUUUUUUUUCUUCCCAAAAUGUGUACAAUGAAUUUCUGAGCUGCUAAAAAUCCCACAUUGUAUCUCACUGUCAUUCUCUGUAAUCUCUUUUUAGAGGAUUUGGUGUUGUUUGGCUGCUCCAGCUAAACCAAAUUAACACGAAAUUCAGGCUUUUGAAGUGUAGAAGCAGUGUGGGAAGAAUAACGGGAGAUCCUAGGUUUCCUUGAAGAAGAAAGAGGGAUGUAUGGUGAAUACACAUGAAUGUCCCUUCCCUGGGGCCUCUGAUGGUAAAGAAUCCGCCAUCAAUGUGGGAGACCUGGGUUUGAUCCCUGGGUUGGGAAGAUCCUCUGAGGAAGGAACUGGCUACCCAUUCCAGUAUUCUUGCCUGGGAAAUCCCAUGGACAGAGGAGCCUGGUGGGCUAGAGUCCAUGGGGUCACAAAGAGUCGGACACGACCAAGUGACUAACACACACACACACUCAAUCAUGUUUGAAAAUGUGACUUAGUAAUUUUGGUUGGGAGUUAAGCUUGUUCCCGGUGCCUUGGGCCUCUUCCAGGAGUGGUGCUCAGAGUCCUAGGUACUGUUGGAGAGGGGCCUUUCAUUCUUGGCGUUCUGGGGGAGAUUUACGUCUGUAAGCCGGAUAAAAAUACGUGGCAAGGUGAUUAGUUUAAUUGGCCCACUAGUAUAAUUAUUCAGUAGGAGGUGACUGUGGGAUGGCUAUUGUAGCCCAAAAUGCCUGGUAGGAAGGGGGAGGAGACUCACUGAAAACAGCAGCAACGUUAUAAAACGUUGGUUUAAAUGUGCAUUUAAUAGCAAAUUAUCCUGUCACUUUAAGAAGGAUGGAGGGAUUCUUAACCAAGUGGGAUUAGAAUCCAACCCCCCACCCCACCCCGCCAAAAAAAAAAAGAGGUGGGCUUUUUUUGGCAAGGAUAAUUGUGGGGAAUUCUGUGAACGAUCUCUCUCCCCUUAAGUAGUACCAGGGGUAACAGGAUUUAGUGAAUGUAAACUCGCCCCAACCCUCAGCUAGUCAUCCUUCCCCCAGGUGUUGCGACAGGCAGGGUGGCUGCAAGCUGGUGUGGCCCCAAGAGUGGGGGUGUCCUGGCUUCUUUCAGAAAAAGCCCAGUGGAAGGGAAUGUGGUAAAGCAGCGGAUUUUUCUUUCACAUCAAAGGGCAGGGAAUGUUGUGCAGACAGUGAGCUAAGGAGGAGGGAGCAGCCCUUUCGGUGCGCUUUGGGAAAGUAUGUGUGGAACGCGGUGGUUCGGGGACCAGGCCCCCCCCCCCCGCCCCCCCGCAACCCCCAAGAGGGUCCAGGUGCCUGCCUGGUUGCUGUGUUCCUGGAGCCCAGUGACCGGAGGCUGAAAUUGCAGCCAGAUGAACCGAAAAUAAAAUUGAUGGCUUUAUUGGACAUUCUUUUCGUGAAAUUUAACUUUCUAAUGUGCACAUUUAUCACUCUGGGGAUGGCAUUAUCCGUGGCUGACCUUUCGUUUGGGGGAGCUGCCACUUGCUGACUGCUGCUCCCUUCAGCUCUGCUUUGAUUCCUCUCCACAUCUGCUGAACAUGUGAGAUAAAUAAAUAUAUAUAUAUAUACACACACACACGUAUAUAUGUGUAUGCAUGUAUAUACUUUUUCCUCUGAUGCACAUUGACAUCUGGCUAGAAAGAUGUAAUGAAAAUCAGUCAGAACUAAUUUUAGCUAGCUAUUCCAGUUUAGGGUCCCAGUUCUCCUGGUUUCUUUUCAGAUGUAGACAUUAUGGCUUCCUACAAGUUGCUGGGGGAAGCAUGGGGCAGCAUUGGCAAGGCUCUUUGGGCAGGAGGCUGGGGGUCUUUGGCUUAUUUCCACCCCUCUCCACACUGCCCCCCCCCCCCGUUAAUGAUUUGGGGGUGGCUGGGAAUCAUAAGCCUGCAAGGCUUGUUAUCAACGUGCUCAGUAAUAUUUAAAAAUCUUCCUUCCCUUCCUCCUUUCCAGUAGGCAUUAGAGCACGGCUGUGGUUACACCUAAUAUACCUCAAAGACUUCCCUGGACUGUUUAAUGGGACCUCAUGGAAAGACAGCUCACUCCAGUGUUCUUUCCUGGAGAAUCCCCAUGGACAGGGGAGCCUGGUGGGCUGCACUCCAUGGGGUCACAGAGAGUGGGACACGACUGAGCGACUGAGCAUGCACGCAGUGGAGUGUCAUGCGCCCUUCCGUGGGUGGUGGGUGGUUCUUAUUUUGAAAAGAUGUGACAACUGAGGACUUUCCAAUUAUUACAGUCUUUCAUGGGAUCAGAAUUUGAGGGAGACAAGACUUAGGCCGUAAUUUAACAGGUCAUUGGAGCUUCCACACGAGCGUUGGGGGUGCUGGAGGCGUUGGGUCACAAACAUAAAAUUGCACUCUGUGUUUCUGCUUGCUCCAGAGAAGUGGCUGGAACACCUGCUCUCGCUUCUUCAGGAGAAUCCCAGUCAGGAUGUCACUGUCUCCCCAAGUGCUCCCAAAUGUUUGUGGCUGCCCAUUCCUUCUCCCUAUGACAGCCUCUGUCUCAUCUUUGGCCAAUCUGGAGGCAGGAAGUAGUGGGACUUCCGGUUUGGGUGUGAGGUCACUAGGGCAGGAGGUGGCUUUGUCUUGGACGUGGUCAUCCUCUCACCUUGGGGUUGAUGCAGCCUCCCCAUGCUCAGCCUCCCACCUGUGCUUGGUGAAUACUGCUCGGCCUUGUUGCUGCAGCACUGGAUGGUUGACUUAGGUCCCUGGACAGAUUCCUUGUCAGAACCCCCUUCCCAGUAGAGGGAGGCUGCACCCUCCUGCCCCUGUGUCCUGGUGGGACUACAUUACCCCUGAGCCGCUUAGGAGGUAGGGACAAGGUUCUUGCCCUAGGAGCUAAAAGUCAGGCCCUGUUGCUCUAGUCUUUUCCUCCUCCUUAAAGCUUCCUUAUGAUAAAAUCUUCCUCUGCUGGUCAACCCUCCAGGCAGGUUUGCUGAACUCAAACAGAAGGUAGUGCUUAGAAGCGUUGAAACUCUCCUCCUCUAAGAUCAUGCCUUACGACAAACUGGAUUCCCAGGUCUCUAUUGAUUUCUGGGGGUUUCCCUUGAUAGUUGCAUUCCCCCCGUCUCCUCUGGAAAAAAGCAUUAUUUGGCCUUACUUUGGCCAUAAAUAGAAUCAGAAUGAGACAAGGAACUCAUGUAACUGAAAGGGUGGUCAUCACAGUGCUUCCAGAGGGGAGGACUCAGGAUGUUUGCAUAUCUCUUAUCAAUGUACAGAGCUUUUUUAAGUUUUACAAACUUAUCAAGAUCACUCAUCACAGUAACUCUGUGGGGUGGGUGUCAUUGACCUUGUUUCACAGGGGAGGAAAGUAGUCACCCCUUGAGGUUGGAGGAGAGGCUGAGAAAAACUAAGCAUUUGAUCCAAAGUAAAGCAUCCAGUGGUAAAGAUGGUCUUGGCUCUUCGACUUGACUGGUAGUGGUUUGCCUUGGAGUUUUUCUCUGUGAUUUGGGCCUGGCCAAAGUGGCUUUGUACCGAUUUCUGUAAUAGGUCUAAAUCGAUUAGAUUUCAGUAAAUAUGUACUGAUCAUCUGUGAUUUAAGAUUUAAACAUAGGAAUCUUUAAAGGGAUGGCAGACUUGAAGUUUUGUAGAGAAUGAAGCAUCAAAAAUCAUUUUACAGAGACAAAAGAAAAAAGUUACAAGUUUACAUGCCUGAUGUACAGACUGAAACCACCCUGUUAUUACAUAACAAUAUGUGUUUCUCGUUUUGCCUCGUGUGGCCAAUAAAUGCAGAAAUUUCUUCACUCCCUUCUUUGCAUUAAAAAGGUGGAGCAAAUGUCUCUAGCCUGUUUUCAAUGCUAUGAGAGAGAGGAACUUCUUUCUAGAUUAUAGGAGUGCCAAGGGAAUGGUCUCCUAUUAACAGUGGAUAGAUUCUACCUGGAGACUGGUGGAAAUGCCAUCCCCAUUGAGAGGAGGAGAGCAAACAGUUGAGCAAAAAGUGAGGAAAGGUCUUUCCCAUUUCUUUUUGAGUACGAAGGGCCUUUUAAGAACUUGGGGUACAUCACAAAGACAAAAUGGUCAAGCCAGGGAAUCCGGAAUUGGAUUCUAUAUUGAUUCCCCUGCAUGUCACUGUGGGUUUCACUUGGCUCUGUUGACCCACCUGUAAAACCGGGAUGGUGAUACAGCUGUGAGGAAGGCUUGAAAGGUACUCACAAGGUCCAGGAUCUGCAGGGGGUGGAGGUUGGGAGCUGGCCACCAGCCUGGAGGAGAAAGGCAGGUGUCCUCUGGAAGGUGAUGGCUCCAUGCAACUGUCUUUCUGAUGUCUGCGUGGCUCCAGUUCCUAAUACUUGGCUCUGUGUUCGCGUGUCAGAGUCACACUCUUCGUUUUCCAUGACUCCUGUUGAUUUUUGGCAUGGACGCACCCAGGAUUUAUUUCUACAGCUAGCACUGUGAUUGACCCAUAAUGGGUGCUCAGUAAGUACUGGUUGAGCGAAUGUACCCCAAGGGGAAGAGGGACAAUGUGCCUAUUCAUAGGUGGGGAGAGACCGUGCCUGGGGACAAGUUUCGAGCUUCUUUAUUUCUGCCUCUGGAGUGUUUGAAUGCAAGCUUCCUAGCAAUGGAGGCAGUGCUGCCAUGCCAUAAAUAACACCAGGAUUGGUCUUUGUUUCCCACUGCGUUGCCCAGGUCACUGCUUAUCAGGAACAGUGCGCAGGGAGGUACCGCCCUCCCUCCUCCCGCCUCUGCUGGGUGCUUUCUGCCUAAGCUAGCCACCAAAUUCUCAGGGCUAUGUUUGUCCUUCUCACAGAGAAAUCUGAUCAUGGCACUCUCCUUCCUAGUAAGUGCCCUCAGUGGUUCCCUGUCGCCCCCAGUGAAGUCCAUACUCCUUGCUCCCAGGGCGCAGGGCCCUCUGACCUGGUCCUUCUACUGUGUUGGAUAUGAGGACCCCCUUGGGCAGUCCUGCAGGCUGUUUGGGGGUGAAAGGCAGUGGUGGUGGGCGGGGGGCGGCAUUGAUCUACCAGAUGGAGUUAGAUCUGCUGGGUUUAACCGGGGAAUUUUAAAACCUGCUCUGAGUUGGUCUCCAAAUGAGCCGAAAAUCAGCAUAUUUGGGACACAUCAGUACAGUACACUAAGAAAAAGGCAUUGGAUGUUUGGAAUAGGAGUGCAAUAGUUCAUGUUAAGGGACGGAGAAAAUCGUGAUGCUAAAGUAUCUUUGCAUAUAGUCUUCAAAGACCUACUCGAUAAAAAGUGUUUUCAACUGACCCUGUAGUUUAUUUGGAAGAAUAUAUAUGUUUGUGUAGGUGCACAUGUAUCUACACUUGCAUAUAUCUUUUUAAUUUGGAAAAUAAAUGAGAGAGACUCGUAUUACUGGAGAUUGAAAAUUACUGUAAAGCUAUAAUAAUAAAAGUGGAUGACGUGAGUGUAAAAAUGUACAAACAACCAAACAAAAUAGCACUUCUCAGAAAUUUUAAGUGUGUGGAAUAACAAUUAUAUGGUAAGUCCUUGGGAGAAGGUACUGGUUAUCUGGUGAAGGAGGUUGUGAAAUUGGAUACUUAAAAAAAAAAAACCCACACAACCUAUUUAGAU
Bubalus bubalis (water buffalo) is the source of this 10786-nucleotide long non-coding RNA. RefSeq lists it as uncharacterized. The transcript has 2 exons. The record is from RefSeq and is a predicted model, not a curated record. Lineage: Eukaryota; Metazoa; Chordata; Mammalia; Artiodactyla; Bovidae.